Molecule: ribosomal RNA, 388 nt
Filed under: uncultured bacterium
Lineage: Bacteria
Description: bacterial SSU rRNA
Rfam family: Bacterial small subunit ribosomal RNA
Source: RNAcentral
GACGAACGCUGGCGGCGUGCUUAACACAUGCAAGUCGAGCGGUAAGGCCCUUUCGGGGGUACACGAGCGGCGAACGGGUGAGUAACACGUGGGUGACCUGCCCUCAGCUCUGGGAUAAGCCUGGGAAACCGGGUCUAAUACCGGAUAUGACUCCAUGACGCAUGUUGUGGGGUGGAAAGCCUUGUGCGGCUGAGGAUGGGCCCGCGGUCUAUCAGCUUGUUGGUGGGGUGAUGGCCUACCAAGGCGACGACGGGUAGCCGGCCUGAGAGGGCGACCGGCCACACUGGGACUGAGACACGGCCCAGACUCCUACGGGAGGCAGCAGUGGGGAAUCUUGCGCAAUGGGCGAAAGCCUGACGCAGCGACGCCGCGUGAGGGAUGACGGCCU